RNAcentral lists this ribosomal RNA (465 nucleotides) under uncultured bacterium. RNAcentral describes it as "partial 16S ribosomal RNA". It matches the Rfam family "Bacterial small subunit ribosomal RNA", at positions 28 to 507 of the family's 1533-position model. The record is from RNAcentral.
GACGAACGCUGGCGGCGUGCUUAACACAUGCAAGUCGAACGGAAAGGCCCUGCUUGCCGGGUACUCGAGUGGCGAACGGGUGAGUAACACGUGGGUGAUCUGCCCUGCACUUCGGGAUAAGCCUGGGAAACUGGGUCUAAUACCGGAUAGGAGCCAUUUUUAGUGUGAUGGUUGGAAAGUUUUUUCGGUGUAGGAUGAGGUCGCGGCCUAUCAGCUUGUUGGUGGGGUAAUGGCCUACCAAGGCGGCGACGGGUAGCCGGCCUGAGAGGGUGGACGGCCACAUUGGGACUGAGAUACGGCCCAGACUCCUACGGGAGGCAGCAGUGGGGAAUAUUGCACAAUGGGCGCAAGCCUGAUGCAGCGACGCCGCGUGGGGGAUGACGGCCUUCGGGUUGUAAACUCCUUUCGCUAGGGACGAAGCUUUUUGUGACGGUACCUAGAUAAGAAGCACCGGCUAACUACGUG